RNAcentral lists this ribosomal RNA (466 nucleotides) under uncultured bacterium. RNAcentral describes it as "bacterial SSU rRNA". It matches the Rfam family "Bacterial small subunit ribosomal RNA", at positions 329 to 793 of the family's 1533-position model. The record is from RNAcentral.
GGCCAGACUCCUACGGGAGGCAGCAGUGAGGAAUAUUGGUCAAUGGGCGCGAGCCUGAACCAGCCAAGUAGCGUGAAGGAUGACUGCCCUACGGGUUGUAAACUUCUUUUAUAAAGGAAUAAAGUGAGGCACGUGUGCCUUUUUGUAUGUACUUUAUGAAUAAGGAUCGGCUAACUCCGUGCCAGCAGCCGCGGUAAUACGGAGGAUGCGAGCGUUAUCCGGAUUUAUUGGGUUUAAAGGGUGCGUAGGCGGACAGUCAAGUCAGCGGUAAAAAUGCGGUGCUCAACGCCGUACAGCCGUUGAAACUGGCGGCCUCGAGUGGGCGAGAAGUAUGCGGAAUGCGUGGUGUAGCGGUGAAAUGCAUAGAUAUCACGCAGAACUCCGAUUGCGAAGGCAGCAUACCGGCGCCCGACUGACGCUGAGGCACGAAAGCGUGGGUAUCGAACAGGAUUAGAUACCCCUGUAC